UCAGAUCAUCACAAUAUACAAUCAUGUGUGCUUGGCUUGUCCAUAAUUGCUUGAGCCAAGAAAUGGGCCUCAACCACUAAUUAUCCUUAUAUCGAAUGCUUACACAGAUGCAUUGAGGUCAGAAAGCCUCGAGCUUGUGCAACCCAGCUCUCUUACAAUCUAACACAGGCCUGGAUAGAAGGUGUGUAAUGUCCAAGCUUUCCAUCAGGUGGUUCCCCACUUCUUGAUGCCACGGUCCAAAAAUCAGGCAAGUCCACUCCAUAUGCUUAUUCAAAGUGGAAGUAACUAUAGAGUGUAGGCUCAGGGGUCCACAAUGCAUACAUGGAUGCAUGAUCAAAGCUACUCAUCAGUUUUAUCCUUGAAGAAAAAAGGGAUGAAAAAUCUGUCCACAUAUUUAUAAAAAAAAAUUCCAUAGCUAUUCUCCUCCAUCUGCUAGCUACAGGUAUUUAUUGGUUCCUUUUAUUUUAUAUCAAAUUUGUUUUUUGGUUAUUUUAUUUUGUUUUGUAAACUUUUGUCUUUGCAUUGGUAAUAGAGGGGGGCUUUGCUGCUUCAUAUGGGGAUGGAUAUGGACUUCAUUCGGGUGGUGUUGACAAAGGUCCUCUAUAUGGCAUGAGUUCUCUUGUUCUUGGGGUGCAUUUGAGAAGUCUCACCUUGGGCGUCGCUGAAGUCCGUUGAUUUUUAUUUUUUUUUUUUCCUUCUGCUUUUCCUUGUGUCUCAAUCUGUAAAUUUUUUGUCCAUUAUGUAAGCUUUCCUUCUCAGGCCCC
Long non-coding RNA from Magnolia sinica, 764 nucleotides. RefSeq lists it as uncharacterized. NCBI's taxonomy places the organism in Eukaryota, Viridiplantae, Streptophyta, Magnoliopsida, Magnoliales, Magnoliaceae. The transcript has 4 exons. The record is from RefSeq and is a predicted model, not a curated record.